AACGAGCGCUGGCGGCAUGCCUAACACAUGCAAGUCGAACGAUGGUCUUCGGAUCAUAGUGGCGCACGGGUGCGUAACGCGUGGGAAUCUGCCCUUGGGUUCGGAAUAACAGUUGGAAACGACUGCUAAUACCGGAUGAUGUCGAUAAGACCAAAGAUUUAUCGCCCGAGGAUGAGCCCGCGUCGGAUUAGCUAGUUGGUGGGGUAAAGGCCUACCAAGGCGACGAUCCGUAGCUGGUCUGAGAGGAUGAUCAGCCACACUGGGACUGAGACACGGCCCAGACUCCUACGGGAGGCAGCAGUGGGGAAUAUUGGACAAUGGGCGCAAGCCUGAUCCAGCAAUGCCGCGUGAGUGAUGAAGGCCUUAGGGUUGUAAAGCUCUUUUACCCGGGAAGAUAAUGACUGUACCGGGAGAAUAAGCCCCGGCUAACUCCGUG
RNAcentral lists this ribosomal RNA (436 nucleotides) under uncultured bacterium. Its description in RNAcentral is "partial 16S ribosomal RNA". It matches the Rfam family "Bacterial small subunit ribosomal RNA", at positions 29 to 507 of the family's 1533-position model. The record is from RNAcentral.